Molecule: ribosomal RNA, 211 nt
Filed under: uncultured bacterium
Lineage: Bacteria
Description: partial 16S ribosomal RNA
Rfam family: Bacterial small subunit ribosomal RNA
Source: RNAcentral
UACGAAGGGGGCGAGCGUUGUUCGGAUUUACUGGGCGUAAAGGGCGCGCAGGCGGCUUAUUUUGUCAGCGUGAAAGACCCCGGGCUUAACCCGUGGGCAAACAUGGCCGCUUUGAGACGGGAUGGAGCUAGAGAUCGGGAGAGGAGGAGUGGGAAUUCCCAGUGUAGAGGUGAAAUUGUAGAUAUUGGGAAGAACGACCGGGUGGCGAAGG